UAGCGAUUCACGGAGAGGAAAAGCGAACAAAAAGAGAAAAACCGAGGGUUAAACUGGGGAAAAAAGGGAAAGCCAGCGAACUUACCUCCUGGAAGUCUGGAGCUGAGUGACUGGAUGAAGGAGAGAACUAACGUCGGUGUCUGACAGGCUAACCACUCACUUUCCAUCCGGAGAGCUGCUGCCGCUGUGAUACUGGUGUGUUCAGCUUUAAAACACAGAGCAACGAUCAGAUUUUUGGAGAAGACAGGAAAGUCCGAGGUCCAGGACGAGACUGCGGUCGUGACAGAUGG
Oreochromis aureus is the source of this 290-nucleotide long non-coding RNA. RefSeq lists it as uncharacterized. Lineage: Eukaryota; Metazoa; Chordata; Actinopteri; Cichliformes; Cichlidae. The record is from RefSeq and is a predicted model, not a curated record. The transcript is spliced from 3 exons.